AGGAAAAAGUGCCUGAAGGAAUCUCACAUCAUCUCAUCAGUUUUCAGAUUUCCAUGUGGACAGAGAUGUUCAACAAUCUGACAGUGAUUUUCGAAUGUCCCCAUCAUUACUGUCCCCAUACCGGUGCUCCCUACAUUACUCAGUCAUACCCUAUUGUUGUGUCAUCUAAAUUAAGGAAAGCAGCAACACAUCUUUACAAGAAGGCCUUCACUCCCAACCUGAAAGUACCUGAUUGAUUGCCUGUCCCUAUCUCUGGGCUGCUUUGUUGCCUCUGUCACAGCAAAUCCCAAUCACCAUCCAUCUCAUCCUGUGAGGAAGGCGGACGUUGCCAGCCAGAACAUUGUUUUGGUGUGCUCCUAAAGAAAGUUGCUGAUGAGGUUCCAGGUUGAGUUGAAAGACAGAGGGGGAGCUCGGCUGUGUGCCUGCGUCGAGGAUAGAGGCAUUUGUCGCUGCCACGGAAGAGGCGAGACAUCAAGGACAGCGAUGUUUGUUAGCGGGGGAGCCGGGCUCUGCUGGAGAUGCAGGUGGCAUGGGAGGAUGCUGGGUGACAGCAGGCCCAGGUAGCAAAGCCCAGGCUUGCUGAUUCAACAAGGAGGAAAGCUUCCCGCAGAGAAACCUCGCAAACUGUAGCAGUGGAGAGAAUGAGACAAUGUGACUUAUACUGUAUAAUUUCAACAUUCUAGUUUGCUUCAUUUAUUAUCACUACAUUUAUUAUGUAUGUAUGUAUGUGUAUGAGUACAGAUUUGGUCACAUGACCAUGAUUAUGUGUAC
Long non-coding RNA from Tachysurus fulvidraco (yellow catfish), 771 nucleotides. RefSeq lists it as uncharacterized. The transcript has 3 exons. NCBI's taxonomy places the organism in Eukaryota, Metazoa, Chordata, Actinopteri, Siluriformes, Bagridae. The record is from RefSeq and is a predicted model, not a curated record.